AUGAUUUCCCUAGUAACGGCGAGUGAAGAGGAAAGAGCUCAAAGUUGGAACCUGUUUGGCCUAGCUAAACAGGAUUGUAAACUGUAGAAGUGUUUUCCAGGCAAUCCGAGUUAAUAAGUCCUUUGGAACAGGGCAUCAUAGAGGGUGAGAAUCCCGUCUUUGAUUCGAGAAUUUUUUGCCUUUUGCGAUACACUUUCAAAGAGUCAGGUUGUUUGGGAAUGCAGCCUAAAUUGGGUGGUAAAUCUCACCUAAAGCUAAAUAUUGGCGAGAAACCGAUAGCGAACAAGUACCGUGAGGGAAAGAUGAAAAGAACUUUGAAAAGAGAGUUAAACAGUAUGUGAAAUUGUUAAAAGGGAACCGUUUGGAGCCAGACUGGCUUGUCUGUAAUCAAUCUAGGCUUUGGCCUGGAUGCACUUGCAGACUAUGCCUGCCAACGACAAUUUGAUUUGAGGGAAAAAACUAGAGGAAAUGUGGCCAGCUUUUUUUUGUUGGUGUUAUAGUCCUUUAGAAAAUACCUUGGAUUGGAUUGAGGAACGCAGCGAAUGCUCUUGUGGCGAGUCUUUGAUAAGUCUUUACAGAUAUGACUGGGUGUUAAAAAACCCAGAACUUGAAGUUUAAACUUGUUUUUUUGUACUUUAAUUCGCUUAGGUUGUUGGCUUAAUGACUCUAAAUGACCCGUCUUGAAACACGGACCAAGGAGUCCACCAUUAGUGCGAGUAUUUGGGUGCCAAACCCAUAUGCGCAAGGAAACUGAAUGAUAUGAAUCCAUUUAGGAGGCAAUAUCGUCCGGCGUUGACGUUUUAUACUGAAGUGACCGAGAUAAAGCACUAAUGAUGGGACCCGAAAGAUGGUGAACUAUGCCUGAAUAGGGUGAAGCCAGAGGAAACUCUGGUGGAGGCUCGUAGCGAUUCUGACGUGCAAAUCGAUCGUCAAAUUUGGGUAUAGGGGCGAAAGACUAAUCGAACCAUCUAGUA
Molecule: ribosomal RNA, 974 nt
Filed under: Rhizopus homothallicus
Lineage: Eukaryota; Fungi; Mucoromycota; Mucoromycetes; Mucorales; Rhizopodaceae
Description: LSU rRNA
Rfam family: Eukaryotic large subunit ribosomal RNA
Source: RNAcentral